This is a small nuclear RNA of Onychomys torridus (southern grasshopper mouse), 107 nucleotides long. Lineage: Eukaryota; Metazoa; Chordata; Mammalia; Rodentia; Cricetidae. The record is from RefSeq and is a predicted model, not a curated record.
AUGCUGGUUUUGGCAGCACAUAUAUUAAACCUGCAGUGAUACAGAGAAGAUUAGUAUGGCUCCUGUGCUAGGAUGACACACACAUUGGUGAAGUACUCCAUAUUUUU